AAUUCUAGAGCUAAUACAUAUGUACAGACCCGACUUCUUGGAAGGGUUGUGCUUAUUAGAUACUGAACCAACCGGUGCUUGCACCGUUUUGAGUUGACUCAUAGUAACCAGCGAACCGCAUGCUUCGGCGGCGGUGUGUCAUCCGAGUUUCUGACCUAUCAGCUUCCGACGGUAGGGUAUUGGCCUACCGUUGCUUUGACGGGUAACGGAGAAUUAUGGUUCGAUUCCGGAUAGGGAGCCUGCUAAACGGCUACCACAUUUAAGGAAGGCAGCAGGUGCGCAAAUUAUCCAAUUUUUUUUUAUGGAGGUAGUGACAAGAAAUACCAAUACAAGGCAUCUACGUCUAGUAAUUGGCAUGAGUGAGAUUUACAACGCUUCACGAGUAUCAAUUGGAGGGCAAGUC
This 403-nucleotide ribosomal RNA is filed under the name uncultured Syndiniales. RNAcentral's name for it is "bacterial SSU rRNA". It matches the Rfam family "Eukaryotic small subunit ribosomal RNA", at positions 154 to 561 of the family's 1831-position model. The record is from RNAcentral. Lineage: Eukaryota; Dinophyceae; Syndiniales.